UAUUGCCACACUCCCAAAAACAGAGCUGCA
RNAcentral lists this non-coding RNA (30 nucleotides) under Mus musculus (house mouse). The record is from RNAcentral. Lineage: Eukaryota; Metazoa; Chordata; Mammalia; Rodentia; Muridae.